This 138-nucleotide non-coding RNA is filed under the name Rhodella violacea. Lineage: Eukaryota; Rhodophyta; Rhodellophyceae; Rhodellales; Rhodellaceae. The record is from RNAcentral.
AAGAGAAAACAGGCAACAGAGAGGAGAAAAUGAAACUAAGCCAGCUCCCUGCCCUUUGCUUAUUGUCGUUGUUUCUUCAAUCAUGCUGCAACCUGUUUUCUCUUUGUCUCCUUUACUUUUUUUUUCUUUUCUUUCCCC